This 74-nucleotide non-coding RNA is filed under the name Paracoccaceae bacterium. The record is from RNAcentral. Lineage: Bacteria; Pseudomonadati; Pseudomonadota; Alphaproteobacteria; Rhodobacterales; Paracoccaceae.
AGCCGAAACGGGCACCAGCAAUGGUGCCCGUCACCAUACUCUGGGCAGGUAUGGUCUGAUGAUGGCAGCCGACA